RNAcentral lists this long non-coding RNA (213 nucleotides) under Mytilus galloprovincialis (Mediterranean mussel). Lineage: Eukaryota; Metazoa; Mollusca; Bivalvia; Mytilida; Mytilidae. The record is from RNAcentral.
GCAGGGGUUUAUCUGGGUAUUUUGGGAAAAAGGACCCUGGCCAGUUUUGGGAAUUUUUUAGCGCUGUUUUCAAUGAAAUUGGGAAAAACAACCAAUAUAUCAGAUGCUAGUUUUAGUGUGUUUAGUUCAUUAAAUUUGUUUUUAAAUAUAACAACAUGGCAUUAAAGUUUAUUUGAGUAUCAAAAUAAUGAGUUCUAACUUUUUAAAGGAUUG